Molecule: transfer RNA, 72 nt
Filed under: Heterocephalus glaber (naked mole-rat)
Lineage: Eukaryota; Metazoa; Chordata; Mammalia; Rodentia; Bathyergidae
Rfam family: tRNA
About the family: Transfer RNA (tRNA) molecules are approximately 80 nucleotides in length. Their secondary structure includes four short double-helical elements and three loops (D, anti-codon, and T loops).
Source: Rfam by way of RNAcentral
AUGUAUGUAGCUCAAUGGUAGAGUUCUUCCCUAGCACAUGUAAGGCUCUGGGUUCUAUUCCCAGCACGCACA